Molecule: long non-coding RNA, 3695 nt
Filed under: Sus scrofa (pig)
Lineage: Eukaryota; Metazoa; Chordata; Mammalia; Artiodactyla; Suidae
Description: lncRNA (ENSSSCG00040069163.1)
Source: RNAcentral
UUUUUUUUUCUUUUUUAGUCUAAAUUAGUAAUAUUUAGGAAUUCAUCUUCAUGCAAAGCUAAUAUCCAUUAGAAGUCCAAACCGAAAAAGAAAAUUCUUCCAAGUUUACUUGGAUUAAUAACUUCACAAACGUAUGAGCUUCUAUAGCAAAUCAAAGGAGAAACUGAAAAAGGUUAAGAAGGUAACAUAGAAAGACAAAAUUCUUAAGCAUUUUUAAUGCAAUGGCAGCAACAGUGGCCUCAGGGAAAAACAACACUUUUCUAAAGCUUAUUAAUGCCUACACUGAAGGCACUGAGACUAAAUACACCAUCUGCACAAAGAAUGUCAGUCUACGGAACCACUAUUAACAGAGUGCAGAGAGAGAUGGAAAGAACUCAACCCAAACACAAGAUUGCAUUUAACUGUGUGGGGUUUUAUUUGAAGGAAUCUGAUUUCAUGUUUCCAAAUUCUUUCAGUCUAACCAAAACACAAAAGAAAAAACUAAAAUUUACCUGAUAAUGUUACUGAUUCUGAAAUAUAUAUAUUUAAAUUAAAGAUGAGUAAUGAGGGGGUUUUAUUACUCCCUCAUUUUUAAGGUUUUUUUUUUUAAUUUAAAAUUUUUAAAUGGUGGAUAGCUUGUGUUCACAAAUGGAUUCUUUGGUUAUAUACUCUCUAAAGUGGUUGGUUCCCUCUGGGAUGUUGCUGCCAAGACCUGUUCAAAGUCAUCCGGCAGUAAUUUUUAUGAUGCCUGAAAGGACCCCUUUAUUGUGGCCCAAAUUUUGCAAGGUUUAUUAUGUUCAAUUCCACAUUUUCAGGUGGCAUUUCCCAUGUUUUAGUCGCCCUAGAUUCUGAAGAAAGGGGGAAAAACCAACCAACCAACCCAGGCUUCCUUCUUUUGGAGGCUAAUCCUUUUCCCUUUAAAAUAAUUUCCUCUGUUUCCUUACGAUACUAUGCUUUGAAACAGUCUAUAUAGAGACUGUUUUGACCUUUAAAAAAAAGCCUAAAACCUAUGAAUUUGAAUUUGUUUUCAAACCAAUUUAAAGUUGUAAUAGAGAAAUAUAUAUAUAUAUACACACACACACACAUAUAUAUAUGAAACAUCUUCAAAAAAGUUGUAUUGUGCUAUAGCUGUGUAAACAGGUAAAUACAUACUAUUUUCAGGAUAUUACCUAUAAUAUCAGUAACUGCCUUAGUUUAUAAAAGCUCCUAAAAUCUGAAAAUAAUAUCCACGUCUUAUAUAAUUAUAUAUAUAUAAUUAUAUCCUCAGUCUUAUAUAAUAAAAUACCAUGGACUGGGAGGUUUAAACAACAUACAUGAAUUCUUCACAGCUCUGGAGAUCAAGGCACCAGCAGAUUUGGUUCUUGGUCAGGGCUCUCUCCCUGGUUCAGAGAUGGUUGUCGUCUUCUCCCUGCGUCCCUAAAUGGAAGAAAGAAGCAGCUCUGGAGUCUCUUCAUCUUCUAAGGGCACUAAUCCCUUUAUGGGGACUCCACUAUCACGACCUCAUCUAAACCUAAUUAAUUCUUAAAGCCCUCACCCCCUAACACUCACACUGGAAGUUACCCUUUUAAGAUAUGGUUUGGGGGUGAACACAUUUAGUCCAUAACACCAAAUACAUGGUAUUUUGAGGCACCUUAACUUCUUUCUCUAAUUUUACUGUAUUCCAAUUAUACUCAAAUCCUUUGAAAGCUAAGGUAUAACUGAAUGUCAUGCUUUUGUGCUUAAAUGGAACUUCUUUCAGCUGAAAAAAAUAGACGGUACUUUGGGGAAAUAAACCAUAACAUUAUGAAGAAACAGGUAAAUGCAGUAGGUUAAUAUAAUUAUCUAAGGAUAUUAGUCUUCAAAUACAGUUUUAAACCUCUCCUGUAAUUCAUGGACAUAGAAAGAGCAAAUGAAGAAACUCAGUCUAAUUACCUAAAAAGAUUAUUUUUCUGGGAAAUAGAAAAUUUCAAUGAUAGAUCUAUUAAAUAUUAUAAACAUGCCUAUCAGAUGCCUAGAAAUAUUAAAUUAAAAAAUAAACUAUUUCUACACUUAACAUUCUAUUGUUUUCACUUAUUAGGAUAUAUGCUAACUUCUAGAUGACUGACUUGGUUAGAAAAGGAUGACCCUGAACCUGGAGGUUACUGAGAGCUAAAAAGAGAAUUCUACUAUUGAGUGAAUCCCAUGAUUGAUUAUCAGCAGUAGCUUUGUAUUAGUACACAGACUACUGCUAUACUCACUGUUUUAUUUAGCAGACUAUUCUGUAUGAGUUUUUUUUUUUAAUCAUUUUCAGACCCUAAGAUGUCUACAGUAUAACAGAAACUAGAAAGUAAGAGAAAUCAUUGCACUAGGUUCUUAUGCGCAUGGUCAACAUUUUUAUUCUUUUUCUUUAAAAAUUAGUAAUUCCUGGAGUUCCCGUCGAGGCACAGUGGUUAAUGAAUCUGACUAGGAAUCAUAAGGUUGUGGGUUCUAUCCCUGGCCUAGAUCAGUGGGGAUCGAACCUGCAACCUCAUGGUCCCUAGUCAGAUCCAUUAACCACUGCACCACAACGGGAACUGCUAAUAAACUUUAUUGUCCCUAGUAUUCUCAAUACAAUUUUCUAAGUUUUUAAAAAACAUUAACUGACUUAAUCGUAACAACUCUGUGAGGCACUUACCAUAACUAACAUCUUCGAUUUACUGAUAAGGAAACUAAGGAAUAGAGGCAUAUGUACCUUGCCCAAGGUUACAGAGCAAGCAAGUGAUGGGAAGAAAGAUUUGAAGUGAAAAAAAUGCCAGUGGAAUUUGGUAACUAGCUUUUUUUUUCUUCUUAAAGUUCUACUUUCUUCUAUACUACAAAUGGAACUGUAUUUCAACUUUCACUGCAAAAGAAGUUUUUAAUGCAGUCGGUGUUUUAAAAUGUGUACCUUUUCUUCUUGUAAAAUGACAUGUUCAUUAGCUUAAAUUACAUGGUGGUUCACUCCCUUGUGCUUCUGUCAUCCACACUUGAGAAUGCUCUGACCUAGAGAGAAGGAAAUUCUCACAACUCUCUAACUUCCUACUGUUUAGGGACCAUUGUCAUGUCAACAUCUCCUUCUCCCCUAAUUCUCUGCAGCCUCUGAAGAAACCUUCUGUAGAUAUAUUUAAUUGCCUCUUAGAAAAGGCUUGUACCUUGGCUUCCCUUCACUUCCUCCAGAGAACUAAAGGGUUGGAGAGGGCAGGAAAAGAGUUAAAUCAUCUUUACAAAACGAGCAAUCUUCCCAAAGCUUCCCAUUUUGUUUCUAAUAAAGAACAAAAAUAGAAAUUCCAAAAACAUUUCCAGAAAUCUACUGCAUUAGCAGGCAUGGUGAGAUUAUAAAGGAUAAAUGAUAUACAAUUACUGUGAUGAAGGAAGUACACCAAAUAAUAGUAAAUCAUAGGAAGAAUUUGAAUCCAUGAAGUUCAAAAAAGCAAACGAUCAUUUCCCUGAAUAAGAUCAUUGGAAAACUAAUGGCUACAAGACUUUUAAAAACAUUUUUAUAGACUACUACAUGCAACUUCAAAAGAGUUCUCUUUUUUUAUGACUCUAUAGGAUUAUUAUACUACUUGGAAAUAAUCAUUUCUUGGAAAUAAUCACCAGUCAGUAAAAUGUAAAAUAUCAAGUUCGGUUUAUUUAAGUUCCUACAAGAGCAACAUGGUAUACAUGGUGUGUGCGUGUAUAGUGUAUAUAUAUGGCUAAAGGAACACCACCAAGGAUUUCCUUACAGAGGAUAUCUCAUGUUA